AGUAAAAUUUAGGGGUUGAAUUUUGAAUUUAAUAACAUAGUAAAGAAACUUUUAGUAUACAUCCUGUAUAAAUCUUAAAAACAUUGUGAUAUACCCUCGUAUAUUUAGCUACAGUUGCACCAUCUAACAACUAUUUGUCAAAAUUUGUUCACAGAUUAAACGUCAAUUUACGUAAUUGUUUUAUCAUUAUCUAUGGCUUCAGCUUUCUUGAGUUCGCGAGUUGUGUGACUGACACCAGAUAUUGUUGUGUUUGUUGCGCCUUAACUAUUUUGACGGUUCUGACUUAUUAGUAAUACUUUCUUUGAUUUAUACUCUUUAUUUACACUGUGUACAACUAUUUACGCCCAAUGAAUGGCCUAUUGGCAAGACGAUCAACAUUAUUGAUAUCUAAGAAUAUAGUACCUGUUAGUGCUAUCUUGGGGCCCUCUUCCUGUCAAUGUUUAUUAUGAAGAUAAGUCCCGGAGUGAAGUCUGGAGGAAGGAACAAUUGUCUGGUGAAAAAUAGAGCUGUGACCAGUAUGGACCCAAACAAAUUGGAUCAAAAGGAAUAUUACACAAACUUUGGACAUCAUAGCAGUCUGCGUUUCAUCCCAGUAUGGAGCAGUAUCCUUUUAUUCACUGGAAGCAGAAAUAUCAAAGG
Agrilus planipennis (emerald ash borer) is the source of this 639-nucleotide long non-coding RNA. RefSeq lists it as uncharacterized. The record is from RefSeq and is a predicted model, not a curated record. NCBI's taxonomy places the organism in Eukaryota, Metazoa, Arthropoda, Insecta, Coleoptera, Buprestidae. The transcript is spliced from 3 exons.